GCGAUGUCCUGUAGCAAAAUUUGCCUACAAUCUUUGACCGUUCGUUUUAUUUAAAAAAAUUAUGAAAAAAUUUAAAAAGAUAAGUCACGCAUAAAGUAUUAUUCAUGUUUUAUCAUCUAAUAAAAAUAAAAAUAUUAAUCAUAAAAAAAUUAUAUAAGACUGACGGUCAAAUAUUGGACACAGAAACCCACGAAUCAACUUAUU
Oryza rufipogon (brownbeard rice) is the source of this 204-nucleotide microRNA precursor. It matches the Rfam family "MIR812 microRNA precursor family". The record is from Rfam. NCBI's taxonomy places the organism in Eukaryota, Viridiplantae, Streptophyta, Magnoliopsida, Poales, Poaceae.